GCCAGCAUGAUGUAAUGGUUUGAAUGUUGGACUAUGACUCUGGAGAUCAGGGUUCGAAUCCCCGCUCAGCCA
Molecule: non-coding RNA, 72 nt
Organism: Phrynosoma platyrhinos (Desert horned lizard)
Lineage: Eukaryota; Metazoa; Chordata; Lepidosauria; Squamata; Phrynosomatidae
Source: the annotation of a GenBank genome assembly